CAAAUCGCUACAAAUUGCACACGAAACAAACUAAUCAAGCAUGCCAAAAAUUCAGAAAAGUUUUGGGGGAAAAGUAAAAAGGAUUUGAGUGGAAGGGAAAAUAUAAGCAAUCGAUAGAAUUGCUUCUAUGGCAGAACUAAAACAAGGACAACGAAUCGGAAUAAACAAGAAAAGACGGUAAGGGCUUUACAGCCAAUAGAAGGAGCGGGAGGCACUUAAGAACAGAAAGGGAAAGAGCUUGGUGGCCGAGAAGCGAUAGCAACAUAGUCGGGCAUAGUCCUGGCCAGUGAAUCCUCUGGCUGUGGAAAACCGGUUAACAAGCUGGAAGAACUGGCAAGAACUCAGAUAUACCGAGGCCUAAUGGCGCCAACGACGAUUACUGAAAACAUAGACAUUAAAUGCAGAGGAAGUGACAUUAAUUGCAUUGAUUUAGCAGGGCCCUACAGCCUACAGCCAACCAACCGAUAAAAGUUGGCCUAUCCAUCUCCAUUAUAGAGUACUUGCCAAUAGGGCAACGAAUUUCCGGGACAAGAAAUUAUAAAACCGAAAUGGGAAACAUGAACAUUACGCACCCAUUGCGUAUGCACUUCCAAUUAUUUGAAAUUGUUGCUAAUGAGAAAUUAAUUUGCAAAAUGCUAAUCAAGCGGCGGCAGUUGCUAUCGCUGGUCUGGUUGCUGGUCAGCAUUCUCCAUUCUAAUUCCAACAAAUUGCCAUCGAAGCUGGCUGGCUGGGCAACGGAUCGAAGUGAUUUAAUUAAGACUGCCGGUCAGACAGUUGCACGAGUUUCCCAAUUUUGGCAUCGAUCCCGCUUGGACUCUAAU
RNAcentral lists this unclassified non-coding RNA (821 nucleotides) under Drosophila ananassae. Its description in RNAcentral is "GF26281". The record is from RNAcentral. Lineage: Eukaryota; Metazoa; Arthropoda; Insecta; Diptera; Drosophilidae.